RNAcentral lists this ribosomal RNA (253 nucleotides) under uncultured bacterium. RNAcentral's name for it is "partial 16S ribosomal RNA". It matches the Rfam family "Bacterial small subunit ribosomal RNA", at positions 524 to 776 of the family's 1533-position model. The record is from RNAcentral.
GACGUAGGGCGCGAGCGUUGUCCGGAUUUAUUGGGCGUAAAGAGCUCGUAGGCGGCUUGUCGCGUCGUUCAUGAAAACCCGGGGCUCAACUCCGGGCUUGCGGGCGAUACGGGCAGGCUAGAGUUCGGUAGGGGAGACUGGAAUUCCUGGUGUAGCGGUGAAAUGCGCAGAUAUCAGGAGGAACACCGGUGGCGAAGGCGGGUCUCUGGGCCGAUACUGACGCUGAGGAGCGAAAGCGUGGGGAGCGAACAGG